GGGUGAUUAGCUCAGCUGGGAGAGCACCUCCUUUACAAGGAGGGGGUCGGCGGUUCGAUCCCGUCAUCACCCACCA
Molecule: transfer RNA, 76 nt
Filed under: Escherichia coli
Lineage: Bacteria; Pseudomonadati; Pseudomonadota; Gammaproteobacteria; Enterobacterales; Enterobacteriaceae
Also listed under: 3 other names
Description: tRNA-Val
Rfam family: tRNA
About the family: Transfer RNA (tRNA) molecules are approximately 80 nucleotides in length. Their secondary structure includes four short double-helical elements and three loops (D, anti-codon, and T loops).
Source: RNAcentral